Molecule: long non-coding RNA, 767 nt
Organism: Haliotis rubra (blacklip abalone)
Lineage: Eukaryota; Metazoa; Mollusca; Gastropoda; Lepetellida; Haliotidae
Exons: 3
Source: RefSeq, a predicted model, not a curated record
CAACGGCAUCAACUACUACUACUACUACUACUACAUCUCCGGUGGCGACUACAUCAGUUCCAGCAUCAACUUCAACAACCACACUGGCAAGCACGACUACACCAUAUGACGGUACGUGUGAGGCGGACAGCGACUGUGCUGUUUCUCCUGGACGGACUUGUUCUGGGGGUGUCUGCACAUGUUCCAUCGGGUACGACAUGGACGAGACCAGCGUUACGUGCAGGAAGCUGACAGAAUGCUCAUCGUUUGGAUCUGAUUUCACCCUCUUCGUGAACCUGGCAAUCAGAGGACACAACGUCAGGACCAUCUAUUCUAAGACUUCUGCGGAAUGUGCAGAGCUGUGUGUGGAUGCUAAAAACAUCGUCUGCAGAUCUUUCGAACAUUACAAUAAUAACUGCUUCUUGCAGACUCUGACGUGGUUUGACGUCGGCGGCGACGAUCAUCGUUCUCUUGCAAAUGUUGGUCAUUACCAGCGUCGAUGUAACUGGUGAAACACACAGGCUUAUGUCUCUGAUUGAGCUAGUAAUAUGGAAAGAAGUUUAAUAUGACAAAAUAUUGGAAGAUGAGAACACGAAAUGUGUCAAAACCUUCGCAUUCUCACGAUCUUAAUUUUUUUGGUACUUUUGUCAAGAGUCGAAAACAUGAGAAUGGGGUAUAAUCUCGCAAUCUCGACCUGUAAAAAUCAGGCAAAAAAACACGAAGACGCAAGAUUUCCUGUGACUGCGAGAUUGCGCCGACAGUUUCACAUAUUUCCCCCAAUGUUUUGG